RNAcentral lists this ribosomal RNA (455 nucleotides) under uncultured organism. RNAcentral's name for it is "partial 16S ribosomal RNA". It matches the Rfam family "Bacterial small subunit ribosomal RNA", at positions 329 to 800 of the family's 1533-position model. The record is from RNAcentral.
ACGUACACUCCUACGGGAGGCAGCAGUGGGGAAUAUUGGACAAUGGGCGCAAGCCUGAUCCAGCCAUGCCGCGUGAGUGAUGAAGGCCCUAGGGUUGUAAAGCUCUUUCACCGGUGAAGAUAAUGACGGUAACCGGAGAAGAAGCCCCGGCUAACUUCGUGCCAGCAGCCGCGGUAAUACGAAGGGGGCUAGCGUUGUUCGGAUUUACUGGGCGUAAAGCGCACGUAGGCGGACUAUUAAGUCAGGGGUGAAAUCCCGGGGCUCAACCCCGGAACUGCCUUUGAUACUGGUAGUCUUGAGUUCGAGAGAGGUGAGUGGAAUUCCGAGUGUAGAGGUGAAAUUCGUAGAUAUUCGGAGGAACACCAGUGGCGAAGGCGGCUCACUGGCUCGAUACUGACGCUGAGGUGCGAAAGCGUGGGGAGCAAACAGGAUUAGAAACCCUAGUAGUCCCAUGA